GCGGAUAUGGUGGAAUGGCAGACACGUUGGCUUCAGGUGCCAAUGGUAGCAAUACCGUGCAGGUUCAAGUCCUGUUAUCCGCACCA
Molecule: transfer RNA, 86 nt
Filed under: Ruminiclostridium sp.
Lineage: Bacteria; Bacillati; Bacillota; Clostridia; Eubacteriales; Oscillospiraceae
Description: tRNA-Leu
Rfam family: tRNA
About the family: Transfer RNA (tRNA) molecules are approximately 80 nucleotides in length. Their secondary structure includes four short double-helical elements and three loops (D, anti-codon, and T loops).
Source: RNAcentral